CGAGAAUGGCCAGCAAAGCAAUACAGCGUGCCAUGCAGGAGACUCAGGAACAAGGGCUGCGGGCCGCUGGCCCAGGAAGCCAGAUCAUCAGGGAGCCUUCUGGGAGGACGGGGCCCCUCAAGGACCAGGGGCCUGUCACAGAAGAGCCAACAGACACCCUGGAAGCAGCCCCUCCCAUGAACAAGAAGAGCCCCCGAACGUUUUCACCAAAUGACCAACCCCAAAUUAGGCUGCCUCCACUUCCCACAGCCUUUUCAACAGACCUAGAGGAGCCGGCUAAUUAGUAAUAAAUCUGAGAAUAAGCAGCUGACUCUCCAGUCCCAGAAAGGAAGUCCCUGUGUUUCCUCGCCGGUGUCACUGUGGGCAUCGCCACACGACCGAGUCCCGACGGCUCCCCCACGGCUCUGCCACCCCGGGAGUCAGCUGCGUGGUGAGCCUGCCAAACUCCGCGGGAAGGACGGGUGGGGGCUCCAGCGCCCUCCCAGAAGCCGGGCCCUCCCUCAUGCCUCUCACUCUGGCUGAAGCGGCGCUGGCUCCGUCAAAGCCGACCCUGCCGAGAGGCAGGAGAGUACAGGCUUCUGCAGCCAGCCACGGCACCCCAGGCCGGCCCCUUCUCAGGCCUUCUCAGUGAGGCUGUCGGUGAGGCAGUGCUCCUCUCGGGGAGCCAGCCCUCGCCACCUCCUGCAUUUCCCUCAGAGACCAGAAGCGGAAGGAGAUCAGUUCCGUCAGCUCCAGGAGAGGGGAAGAAAAUAAAAGUUUGACAGGAAUUUAUAAAUACAGC
Molecule: long non-coding RNA, 781 nt
Filed under: Fukomys damarensis (Damara mole-rat)
Lineage: Eukaryota; Metazoa; Chordata; Mammalia; Rodentia; Bathyergidae
Description: lncRNA (ENSFDAG00000028960.1)
Source: RNAcentral